CCUACGGGAGUCAGCAGUAGGGAAUCUUUCACAAUGGGCGAAAGCCUGAUGGAGCAACGCCGCGUGCAGGAUGAAGGCCUUCGGGUUGUAAACUGCUUUUAUAAGCGAGAAAUAUGAUGGUAACUUAUGAAUAAGGAUCGGCUAACUACGUGCCAGCAGCCGCGGUCAUACGUAGGAUCCGAGCAUUAUCCGGAGUGACUUGGUGUAAAGAGUUGCGUAGGUGGCAUAAUAAGUAGCUAGUGAAAUCUGGUGGCUCAACCAUUCAGACUAUUAGCUAAACUGUUAAGCUCGAGACCGUUAGGGGUAACUGGAAUUUCUAGUGUAGGAGUGAAAUCCGUAGAUAUUAGAAGGAACACCAAUAGCGUAGGCAGGUUGCUGGGACGGUUCUGACACUAAGGCACGAAAGCGUAGGGAGCAAACGGGAUUAGAUACCCCAGUAGUC
Molecule: ribosomal RNA, 442 nt
Filed under: uncultured bacterium
Lineage: Bacteria
Description: partial 16S ribosomal RNA
Rfam family: Bacterial small subunit ribosomal RNA
Source: RNAcentral